RNAcentral lists this ribosomal RNA (253 nucleotides) under uncultured bacterium. RNAcentral's name for it is "partial 16S ribosomal RNA". It matches the Rfam family "Bacterial small subunit ribosomal RNA", at positions 524 to 776 of the family's 1533-position model. The record is from RNAcentral.
UACGGAGGGUGCUAGCGUUGCUCGGAAUUAUUGGGCGUAAAGCGCGCGUAGGCGGCUUGGCAAGUCGGAUGUGAAAUCCCUCGGCUCAACCAAGGAAGUGCAUCCGAAACUGCUGAGCUUGAGUCCUUAAGAGGAUCGCGGAAUUCCCGGUGUAGAGGUGAAAUUCGUAGAUAUCGGGAGGAACACCAGUGGCGAAGGCGGCGAUCUGGGAAGAUACUGACGCUGAGGUGCGAAAGCGUGGGGAGCAAACAGG